Molecule: long non-coding RNA, 227 nt
Filed under: Dicentrarchus labrax (European seabass)
Lineage: Eukaryota; Metazoa; Chordata; Actinopteri; Moronidae
Description: lncRNA (ENSDLAG00005035109.1)
Source: RNAcentral
CUCAAAUCUUUUCAGAAACAUAUCUGACUGUGCUGUUGAUUUGUAAUAGGUCAACGUGGGUGACCAGGUGCUGUGUUAUCCAGCUGUGUGGAGAGUGACAGACAAACUCAAGUCUGCAUAUCACCUGGAGUCAGCUGAUGGAUCACGGGCUCAAGUUUUUGUGGUGAGACCAGGACGUUGUAUUUGCUUUUAUAGUAACCACAAUUAUAAUGCAUUACAGAUUUUAA